UUUCUCAGCGGCGGACGGGUGAGUAACACGUGGGCAACCUGCCCUACAGACUGGGAUAACUCCGGGAAACCGGAGCUAAUACCGGGUAAUACAUAGCAUCGCAUGAUGCAACGUUGAAAGUUGGCCUUUGGCUAACACUGUAGGAUGGGCCCGCGGCGCAAUAGCUAGUUGGUAAGGUAACGGCUUACCAAGGCCACGAUGCGUAGCCGACCUGAGAGGGUGAUCGGCCACACUGGGACUGAGACACGGCCCAGACUCCUACGGGAGGCAGCAGUAGGGAAUCUUCCGCAAUGGACGAAAGUCUGACGGAGCAACGCCGCGUGAGUGACGAAGGCCUUCGGGUCGUAAAGCUCUGUUGUUAGGGAAGAACAAGUACCGUUCGAAUAGGGCGGUACCUUGACGGUACCUAACCAGAAAGCCACGGCUAACUACGUGCCAGCAGCCGCGGUAAUACGUAGGUGGCAAGCGUUGUCCGGAAUUAUUGGGCGUAAAGCGCGCGCAGGCGGUCUCUUAAGUCUGAUGUGAAAGCCCACGGCUCAACCGUGGAGGGCCAUUGGAAACUGGGGGACUUGAGUGCAGAAGAGGAGAGUGGAAUUCCACGUGUAGCGGUGAAAUGCGUAGAUAUGUGGAGGAACACCAGUGGCGAAGGCGGCUCUCUGGUCUGUAACUGACGCUGAGGCGCGAAAGCGUGGGGAGCGAACAGGAUUAGAUACCCUGGUAGUCCACGCCGUAAACGAUGAGUGCUAGGUGUUGGGGGCUUCCACCCUCAGUGCUGAAGUUAACACAUUAAGCACUCCGCCUGGGGAGUACGACCGCAAGGUUGAAACUCAAAGGAAUUGACGGGGGCCCGCAC
RNAcentral lists this ribosomal RNA (853 nucleotides) under Bacillus sp. (in: firmicutes). RNAcentral describes it as "bacterial SSU rRNA". It matches the Rfam family "Bacterial small subunit ribosomal RNA", at positions 88 to 926 of the family's 1533-position model. The record is from RNAcentral. Lineage: Bacteria; Bacillati; Bacillota; Bacilli; Caryophanales; Bacillaceae.